AUUAUUGAGAAAUUAACAUUGUUAGUAUAUAAUAAUUAUGAAAACAAAAAAUUAUGGCGGUACUUUAAGCUUUUCAGAGGAAUUUGCUCUAUUAUGGAUAAAACACCUAAAUCUUACUAAAACUAGUAAAGACAGUUUGUAUACCACUAUAAAAGUAAUAAUUAAUAUUUAUUACUUUAAUUUUUAAUUCAAAAAUGAAAAUUAAGUCAAGGUGCAGCAAAAGUUUUAGGUUGAAGUGAAUUACAUUUCUUUUGAGAAAAUUAUUAAAUGAAAUCAAUAUUUAGGAUUUGAAAGUAAAAAUUUAAUAAAAUGGAAUUUUGAAUAAAGUUCUGAAGUAUGUAC
This 342-nucleotide ribosomal RNA is filed under the name Amblyomma varium. RNAcentral's name for it is "partial 12S ribosomal RNA". Lineage: Eukaryota; Metazoa; Arthropoda; Arachnida; Ixodida; Ixodidae. The record is from RNAcentral.